Molecule: ribosomal RNA, 254 nt
Filed under: uncultured bacterium
Lineage: Bacteria
Description: partial 16S ribosomal RNA
Rfam family: Bacterial small subunit ribosomal RNA
Source: RNAcentral
UACGAAGGGGGCUAGCGUUGCUCGGAAUCACUGGGCGUAAAGCGCACGUAGGCGGCUUUUUAAGUCAGAGGUGAAAUCCUGGAGCUCAACUCCAGAACUGCCUUUGAUACUGGAGAGCUUGAGUCCGGGAGAGGUGAGUGGAACUGCGAGUGUAGAGGUGAAAUUCGUAGAUAUUCGCAAGAACACCAGUGGCGAAGGCGGCUCACUGGCCCGGUACUGACGCUGACGGUGCGAAAGCGUGGGGAGCAACAGGG